GAUGAACGCUAGCGGCAGGCUUAAUACACGCAAGUCGAGGGGCAGCGCGGGUAGCAAUAUCUGGCGGCGACCGGCAAACGGGUGCGGAACACGUACAGAACCUUCCUUUAAGCGGGGGAUAGCCCAUAGAAAUGUGGAUUAAUACCCCAUAGUAAUGUUGAGUGGCAUCACUUGAUAUUUAAAGAUUUAUCACUUAAAGAUGGCUGUGCGGCUGAUUAGGUAGUUGGUGGGGUAACGGCCCACCAAGCCAGCGAUCAGUAACUGGUGUGAGAGCACGACCAGUCACACGGGCACUGAGACACGGGCCCGACUCCUACGGGAGCAGCAGUAAGGAAUAUUGGUCAAUGGACGCAAGUCUGAACCAGCCAUGCCGCGUG
RNAcentral lists this ribosomal RNA (377 nucleotides) under uncultured bacterium. Its description in RNAcentral is "bacterial SSU rRNA". It matches the Rfam family "Bacterial small subunit ribosomal RNA", at positions 28 to 403 of the family's 1533-position model. The record is from RNAcentral.